Molecule: unclassified non-coding RNA, 253 nt
Filed under: uncultured Myxococcales bacterium
Lineage: Bacteria; Pseudomonadati; Myxococcota; Myxococcia; Myxococcales
Description: contains 16S-23S intergenic spacer region
Rfam family: Bacterial small subunit ribosomal RNA
Source: RNAcentral
GACAGAGGGUGCAAACGUUGUUCGGAAUUACUGGGCGUAAAGCGCGUGUAGGCGGUUUCGCAAGUCGGAUGUGAAAUCCCGAGGCUCAACCUCGGAAGUGCACUCGAAACUGCGUGACUAGAGUUCUGGAGAGGAAGGUGGAACGCUUGGUGUAGAGGUGAAAUUCGUAGAUAUCAAGCAGAACACCGGUGGCGAAGGCGGCCUUCUGGACAGUGACUGACGCUGAGACGCGAAAGCGUGGGGAGCAAACAGG